AUUGAGCGCUGGCGGCAGGCCUAACACAUGCAAUCGAGCGGAUGAAGGGAGCUUGCUCCUGGAUUCAGCGGCGGACGGGUGAGUAAUGCCUAGGAAUCUGCCUGGUAGUGGGGGAUAACGUCCGGAAACGGGCGCUAAUACCGCAUACGUCCUGAGGGAGAAAGUGGGGGAUCUUCGGACCUCACGCUAUCAGAUGCGCCUAGGUCGGAUUAGCUAGUUGGUGGGGUAAAGGCCUACCAAGGCGACGAUCCGUAACUGGUCUGAGAGGAUGAUCAGUCACACUGGAACUGAGACACGGUCCAGACUCCUACGGGAGGCAGCAGUGGGGAAUAUUGGACAAUGGGCGAAAGCCUGAUCCAGCCAUGCCGCGUGUGUGAAGAAGGUCUUCGGAUUGUAAAGCACUUUAAGUUGGGAGGAAGGGUAGUAAGUUAAUACCUUGCUGUUUUGACGUUACCAACAGAAUAAGCACCGGCUAACUUCGUG
RNAcentral lists this ribosomal RNA (483 nucleotides) under uncultured bacterium. Its description in RNAcentral is "partial 16S ribosomal RNA". It matches the Rfam family "Bacterial small subunit ribosomal RNA", at positions 30 to 507 of the family's 1533-position model. The record is from RNAcentral.